Molecule: long non-coding RNA, 616 nt
Organism: Xenia sp. Carnegie-2017
Lineage: Eukaryota; Metazoa; Cnidaria; Anthozoa; Malacalcyonacea; Xeniidae
Exons: 3
Source: RefSeq, a predicted model, not a curated record
CUAAGUGUUUUGUAUGUGCUAAGACGAUAAAAACUCUGCAAAAAAUCAAGACACACAAAUCGCAAAGUCAGAAUGGCAUCACCACAAGCGUCGUUUUAUACUUUCAAAAAAUGUGAUCACUGUGAAGAUUACAUUGUUAAGCCUUCGUGUGGGCAUGUAAGCCACCUUGCCGCGGUGAUCGAAAAUAUGUUUAACAAGACGAACAUUCAGUUUGAAUGUCUCGUUUGUGGAAUUACGGAUUCAGAGACGGAUCGUCUAAUAAAAGACCUUAUCGAGUAAGUUUUAAUUCGUUUGUAGUUGUCGUAAAAUGUUUUUUUCUAUAUAAUAUUACAUCACUUACGUAUAUGUAUACAGAAGUGCUAACAUGUAAGCAGUAAAUUCAUACAUGUUUCUUAUAUUUCUUUUAGAACUAUGUGUAAUGGUUUGACCUUACAAAUUGAACAAGAAUAAAUAAAAAUAUAUAUUUACAAAAGCUUAACGACUCGUGUUUCAAGUUUGUUCUUUUUAUCCGAAACAAAUAUUUUACGCCAGUCGUUACAAGUGUAUUUUAGUAUCUCAAGUCCAUUAACGGGUGGCUUGACAUCUUCAAUGCUUUUCAUAAAAUCUUUGAUCACAA